Molecule: small RNA, 2108 nt
Filed under: Drosophila pseudoobscura pseudoobscura
Lineage: Eukaryota; Metazoa; Arthropoda; Insecta; Diptera; Drosophilidae
Description: GA32613
Source: RNAcentral
ACGAGAUACAUCCCAAGCGGAUCGAGUAGUACGAAAAAGUAUGUACAAAAUAAAUUUGCUUAAUGAAAGCGGAAAGCAUUUUUACAAGCGAAAAUUAGUAGUUGGUUUUUUUUUUUUUUGCAUAUGAAAUGUGCUCUCUCAAUGGAUGGACCGUCGUGUCGUGUGACUCAUGCAGCCAAAAAAACGAGUGACUAAGGGCCCAAAGAGGCCUAAGAUACCCCGAAAGGCAGAGAAAAUCAAUGUCAGACCAUUGAUUGUUGUUGCAGCUGUUCAAAGUUCUUCGACUCCUCCUGCCCGGACUAGAGACAUUUUAAAAUUCCACUCAAGUGUUGGCAAUUUUCUCUGUACUUCCUUCGGCAGGCCUGUAGCCUGCCUCCGGCUUCUUCCGUAGCGCCAACAUUUCUUCGUUUUGUUUUCUUUUGUUUUCUUUUGUGUGGAAUAUUUUUGUCGGCACUGUCUGGAGAACUGGAGAAUAUGCAAAUGCCAUUCAAAGAAUGGCAAUUUUACAGUGCCAUUUGUCAGCUGUGCCGCUCAGCUGAUGGAAAUGGAGGCAGUCUGUGGGCUAGUGCAACGGGGGGAGGGUCUUUUCUGUACAGGGGUUCCAUUUUCAAGUAUUCUCCAUCCAAAAGCAACUUUUCUUAAUCUCAAUUGUUUCAUGCAAAGAGUUCAAUUCUUAAAGCGUCUUUUAUCAGUUUAUAUCGCUGUAAUCGUUCCAUUUUCUUGUGUAGGAAUAAUGGUUAUGGAAUUUUUGAUAAGAUAAGAUAAGAACAGGAAUUUCUAUAAUUUAGAUGCAAGAAAAUACUUGAAAUUCUAGGAAUCAAGUUAGAUAUAACUUGAACCCUUUAGAGUAAGACUUUCCCUUCGUUCCAAACUUGAAAGUAGUCUACCGUUGAAGACCCUCCCUGUAAUGGCCUAUCUCUGGGACUUGCUUACCCGUAUCGGUUAUUACAUGAGUUAGCCAGCACUCCAUAGACUCUUGGAAUGGUGAAAUCUUAGGUCUUUGUUUGUCACCAGCGUUUAGUCAAUCAGUUGUGUGAUGAUUAACCGAGUGUUAACGAACCAAAUGAGUGUCCCCCACAUGCAUUUGUUGCUCAUUCGAUAGGUAUGCAUGACUACAGUUAUUUGUUGCUUAAAGUAGAAAUAUUAAGAGUUUGUGCAUGCCAAUCGGUUCUUAAAAAUUGCAUUCCACAAAUUAGUUUUCCAGGCAAACGAACGAUGUAGUUUGGAGGCAUGCCGAUGAGCCAACUGUUUCAUGGUUCUGGUGCUGUUUCAAUUUCUGGUAGUUGCAUUUUUCUGAUGUGCAGCUCAUUUCAAGUGACUCUUGUUUGAAUUUGAGCGGACUGGAAUGACGACAUUCUUUGACGAUAGCACCAAUUAGCACUUUCGGAUGAGCGGCAUAUUCAGAAUCUGGCUCGUACUCGAAGGAAGGAAUAACGAAAAUAAUACUUUCCCCAUGAAAUUCGAUAUUAAAAUAAUUAUUCCCAAUGAUUUCUUGUCAUAAACGUAGACAGAAAUGCAAAAAGAUGGCUGGCUAUUUUUCUGUUUUAUUUUUUUGGUGAGGCAUCAUCAGAUUGAUAUAAAACUGGUGCUACCCCGUGAUGAUGAUUGCUGUGCUAUAAAUCUGUCGUUUCAUUUGCCGAAAGGGGUUAUAUAUCAUCCUCUUAUUGGUCGAUAAUAUACCAUUCGUACUCCUCUUUUGUUUCCCAUCAAAGUCGUCGCCACAUCGACUAGACACACGACUGGGGAGAGCUGCCACUGGAUCUGGACUUGGAGUUGGACUUGGACUUGGACUUGGAGUUGAAGUUGGGCGUGUCACAUGUCGCAGACCCAGACCCAGACCCAGACUCAUUUUUAUGGCUCAUUGAUGGCUCUAUUAGGUUUAUACGAGCGAACGGAUUCAUAAACAAAAAUAAUCGUAAAUUAGCCAGGCAUUCCUCCUCCUCCUUCAGCUGCUGCCUGCUUCUGGUGCUGCGGAACAAAAGCGGCUGCUUAUAAAUUUAACACGUUCCAAGAUUGGAGGGGACAAAGGUUGAGGGCAGCGAGCGGAGCUUUGUGGCAGACCCAAAAAUAUUUCCCCAAAUCAUGCACUUGACACAGACGGAAACCCG